This 79-nucleotide transfer RNA is filed under the name Candidatus Bathyarchaeota archaeon RBG_13_52_12. RNAcentral's name for it is "tRNA-Glu". It matches the Rfam family "tRNA". From Rfam's summary of the family: Transfer RNA (tRNA) molecules are approximately 80 nucleotides in length. Their secondary structure includes four short double-helical elements and three loops (D, anti-codon, and T loops). The record is from RNAcentral. Lineage: Archaea; Thermoproteati; Candidatus Bathyarchaeota. RNAcentral also lists the same sequence under 2 other names.
GCUCCCGUCGUCUAGUCCGGUCAAGGAUAUGGGCCUCUCGAGUCCGAGAUCCCGGGUUCAAAUCCCGGCGGGAGCACCA